This 448-nucleotide ribosomal RNA is filed under the name uncultured bacterium. RNAcentral describes it as "bacterial SSU rRNA". It matches the Rfam family "Bacterial small subunit ribosomal RNA", at positions 328 to 792 of the family's 1533-position model. The record is from RNAcentral.
UUCCCAGACUCCUACGGGAGGCAGCAGUGGGGGAUAUUGCACAAUGGGGGAAACCCUGAUGCAGCGACGCCGCGUGUGGGAAGACGGUCCUCUGGAUUGUAAACCACUGUCCCCAGGGGCGAAAAUGACGGUACCUGAAGAAGAAGCCCCGGCUAACUACGUGCCAGCAGCCGCGGUAAUACGUAGGGGGCAAGCGUUAUCCGGAUUUACUGGGUGUAAAGGGGGCGCAGACGGCGAUGCAAGCCAGGAGUGAAAGCCCGGGGCCCAACCCCGGGACUGCUCUUGGAACUGCGUGGCUGGAGUGCAGGAGGGGCAGGCGGAAUUCCUGGUGUAGCGGUGAAAUGCGUAGAUAUCAGGAGGAACACCGGUGGCGAAGGCGGCCUGCUGGACUGCAACUGACGUUGAGGCCCGAAAGCGUGGGGAGCAAACAGGAUUAGAUACCCUCGUA